UGAGUAACCUGCCCUUAACUCUGGGAUAAGCCUGGGAAACUGGGUCUAAUACCGGAUAUGACUCCUCAUCGCAUGGUGGGGGGUGGAAAGCUUUUUUGUGGUUUUGGAUGGACUCGCGGCCUAUCAGCUUGUUGGUGAGGUAAUGGCUCACCAAGGCGACGACGGGUAGCCGGCCUGAGAGGGUGACCGGCCACGCUGGGACUGAGACACGGCCCAGACUCCUACGGGAGGCAG
Molecule: ribosomal RNA, 234 nt
Filed under: uncultured bacterium
Lineage: Bacteria
Description: partial 16S ribosomal RNA
Rfam family: Bacterial small subunit ribosomal RNA
Source: RNAcentral